Trichoderma virens Gv29-8 is the source of this 82-nucleotide transfer RNA. It matches the Rfam family "tRNA". Rfam says of the family: Transfer RNA (tRNA) molecules are approximately 80 nucleotides in length. Their secondary structure includes four short double-helical elements and three loops (D, anti-codon, and T loops). Further hydrogen bonds mediate the characteristic L-shaped molecular structure. tRNAs have two regions of fundamental functional importance: the anti-codon, which is responsible for specific mRNA codon recognition, and the 3' end, to which the tRNAs corresponding amino acid is attached (by aminoacyl-tRNA synthetases). tRNAs cope with the degeneracy of the genetic code in two manners: having more than one tRNA (with a specific anti-codon) for a particular amino acid; and 'wobble' base-pairing, i.e. permitting non-standard base-pairing at the 3rd anti-codon position. NCBI's taxonomy places the organism in Eukaryota, Fungi, Ascomycota, Sordariomycetes, Hypocreales, Hypocreaceae. The record is from Rfam.
GCCAUAGUAAUAUAGUGGUAGUAUAUCAGUUUGUGGACUCAGCGAAGCACUGACGGCCGAGGUUCGAUUCCUCGCUAUGGCA